UUACGGUCACAUCACUUUGAAACACUUCUUCCCGUGCGAUCAUCGUAGUUAAACAACGUCGAUCCUAGUCAGCACUUAGAUGAGUGACAGCUUGGGAAUACCAAGUGCUGUAG
Acanthosepion pharaonis is the source of this 113-nucleotide non-coding RNA. Lineage: Eukaryota; Metazoa; Mollusca; Cephalopoda; Sepiida; Sepiidae. The record is from the annotation of a GenBank genome assembly.